Molecule: ribosomal RNA, 672 nt
Filed under: uncultured Flavobacteriales bacterium
Lineage: Bacteria; Pseudomonadati; Bacteroidota; Flavobacteriia; Flavobacteriales
Description: bacterial SSU rRNA
Rfam family: Bacterial small subunit ribosomal RNA
Source: RNAcentral
CUUGAGACCGGCGCACGGGUGCGUAACGCGUAUGCAAUCUACCUUGUACAGAGGGAUAGCCCAGAGAAAUUUGGAUUAAUACCUCAUAGUAUUAUUGAAUGGCAUCAUUUAAUAAUUAAAGUUCCAACGGUACAAGAUGAGCAUGCGUCCUAUUAGCUAGUUGGUGUGGUAACGGCAUACCAAGGCUACGAUAGGUAGGGGUCCUGAGAGGGAGAUCCCCCACACUGGUACUGAGACACGGACCAGACUCCUACGGGAGGCAGCAGUGAGGAAUAUUGGACAAUGGGCGCAAGCCUGAUCCAGCCAUGCCGCGUGCAGGAAGACGCAUCUAUGGUGUGUAAACUGCUUUUGUACGGGAAGAAACACUCCCUCGUGAGGGAGCUUGACGGUACCGUAAGAAUAAGGAUCGGCUAACUCCGUGCCAGCAGCCGCGGUAAUACGGAGGAUCCAAGCGUUAUCCGGAAUCAUUGGGUUUAAAGGGUCCGUAGGCGGUUUAAUAAGUCAGUGGUGAAAGCCCAUCGCUCAACGAUGGAACGGCCAUUGAUACUGUUAGACUUGAAUUACAAGGAAGUAACUAGAAUAUGUAGUGUAGCGGUGAAAUGCUUAGAUAUUACAUGGAAUACCAAUUGCGAAGGCAGGUUACUACUUGUGGAUUGACGCUGAUGGACGAAA